Molecule: long non-coding RNA, 1254 nt
Organism: Toxorhynchites rutilus septentrionalis
Lineage: Eukaryota; Metazoa; Arthropoda; Insecta; Diptera; Culicidae
Exons: 2
Source: RefSeq, a predicted model, not a curated record
UUGAAUAUACUACCAUAUAGAUACGCUUGAAAUCGCUCUACACUCCAUACCACAGCCAAAGCAUCCUUCUCUGUUUGACAGUAACGCUUUUCGGUAUCUGUCAAGGACUUAGACGCACAACUCACCACCCGACUUUCAUCUUUUUUAUCAGUCUGGAUCAAUAAGGCUCCUAAUCCAAAUGGGCUAGCAUCAGCCAUCGCCGUGGUUAAAUCACGUUUAUUGAAAAAGCCCAGCUUUUGGGCUUCAGCUAUAGCUUUUUUAUGUUUUCAAACGAUUUCUGUUGAUCUUCGGUCUAUUUAAAAUCAGAAUCUUUCCUUAAGUCUGGUUUAGAGUUCCCGUGAACGUGAACUUGAACAGGUGGUGGAAUAGUACGAUCAUUUCACGGUGAACUACAUUGCGAACAAACAACUAAAAAAAAUCGUGGUGAAUAGAAUGAUUUUGUUCACGUUCACGUUCAUAUUCGGCAGUAAACGUGAAGUAAAUAAACAUCGAUCUUCAAUAAAGUAAUUCGGAUAAAAUAUACAGUUGUUCACGAAUCAACCCGAAGCAACGAAGUUUUUCAACCCGCGGAAAGAUCCGAUUGAAUGAAAUUGCAUCCAUAUCAAAAUUUUCAUUGAAAACUUGAGAAUUGCUAAACAUAUCCUUUUAAGUUCACGGUGAAAUAAUUUUCAGAAUGCCUUGGGACUAGAGAUGGGCAAACCGUUCAUGAACUGUUCAAAAGAACUAAUUCACCAAAAAAAGUGAACGAACGGUCGUUCUUUUCUACUGGGCAACAGUUCAUAUGAACCAAGAUGCUAAACUAUAGGUGUUUCGUUCUUGACACUUUCAUGACAAUACGUGAGACGAGUUGCGAGACGUAGCUUUCUGCAUUGUUUACUUUUUGUUUGGUUGUGUCGUUAUGGUUUCAUAUCAACUCGCUGAGGAAAACAACUGAAGAAAGAAAUAAGCAAAUAUAUAUUCGUGAAAAAUAGUGUACUAGAGCUGCAAUAAGAUGCCGUAUUAUUGUGCAGUAAAAGGAUGCGGAAACAAGGUCCGCAUAACGAAAAACAACCCGGACAUUGUUUACCACACUUUCCCCCGAGAUGGAGAUAGACUUCAUAAAUGGAUACUUUUCUGUGGCCAAUUACUUUCAACAACUCUUUCCGGAUCUUCUGGCGUGAUCGAUAGUCGUGAUUCCAACAGUUUAUUUCACCUGUAAUAUAUUAGCAACACAAAAGUCCACUAAUUUGAAAAAUAAACACGAACCUGUUGCAA